RNAcentral lists this long non-coding RNA (204 nucleotides) under Olea europaea (common olive). RNAcentral's name for it is "long non-coding RNA (OEUR_LNC011730)". The record is from RNAcentral. Lineage: Eukaryota; Viridiplantae; Streptophyta; Magnoliopsida; Lamiales; Oleaceae.
UUAUUAUUAUUUGCAUAUUAAAGAUAUUCAUGUGAGCUAUUCAUAAUAAAUGUUCUCUAAUUCAGUUUCAGGUUCUGCUGCUAAUAUCUCUGCUAGCAUCAAUUCAAUUCCAAUGUUAAAUGGCACAAACUUCAGGGCAUGGCAAGAGAACGUUAUGAUUGUUCUCAGAGUCAUGGACCUAGACCUUGCUUUACGGGUCGAUCN